Molecule: ribosomal RNA, 451 nt
Filed under: uncultured bacterium
Lineage: Bacteria
Description: partial 16S ribosomal RNA
Rfam family: Bacterial small subunit ribosomal RNA
Source: RNAcentral
AACGAACGCUGGCGGCAGGCUUAACACAUGCAAGUCGAACGGACGUAGCAAUACGUUAGUGGCGCACGGGAGAGUAACACGUGGGAACCUACCUUUUAGUUCGGGAUAACGUCGGGAAACUGACGCUAAUACCGGACACGCCCCAAGGGGGAAAGAUUUAUCUCUAUAAGAUGGGCGCGCGCUAGAUUAGCUUGUUGGUUAGGUAAUGGCUCACCAAGGCUACGAGCUAUAGCUGGUCUGAGAGGAUGACCAGCCUCACUGGGAGUGAGACACGGACCAGAGUCCUACGGGAGGCAGCAGUGGGGAAUAUUGGACAAUGGGGGAACCCCUGAUCCAGCUGUGCCGCGUAAAUGAUGAAGGCCUUCGGGUUGUAAAGUUCUUUUGGAGGGGACGAUGAUGACGGUACCCUCAGAAUAAGCUCCGGCUAACGUCGUGCCAGCCGCCGCGGUAA